CGAAGGUAGCAUAAUCAGUAGUCUUUUAAUUGAAGGCUUGUAUGAAUGGUUGGACGAGAUAUUAACUGUCUUAUCUUAAUUUUUUUUUGAAUUUAAUUUUUUAGUCAAAAAGCUAAAAUUUAUUUAAAAGACGAGAAGACCCUAUAAAUCUUUAUAUUGGAAUUAUUAUUAUUAUUUAGAUUUAUUUUAUAAUAAUAAUUAAUAAUAUUUUAUUGGGGUGAUAUUAAAAUUUAUAAAACUUUUAAUUUUUUGUUACAUUAAUUUAUGAAUAAAUGAUCCAUUUUUAAUGAUUAAAAAUACAAGUUACUUUAGGGAUAACAGCGUAAUUUUUUUGGAGAGUUCUUAUCAAUAAAAAAGAUUGCGACCUCGAUGUUGGAUUAA
This 381-nucleotide ribosomal RNA is filed under the name Tachina lurida. Its description in RNAcentral is "partial 16S ribosomal RNA". The record is from RNAcentral. Lineage: Eukaryota; Metazoa; Arthropoda; Insecta; Diptera; Tachinidae.